GAUGAACGCUGGCGGCGUGCUUAACACAUGCAAGUCGAACGGAAAGGCCCUGCUCUUGUUGCGUUCUCGUUUGGCGAACGGGUGAGUAACACGUGAGUAACCUGCCCUUGACUUUGGGAUAACUCUAGGAAACUGGGGCUAAUACCGGAUAGGAGCUCCUGCUGCACGGGGGGGGUUGGAAAGUUCCGGUGGUUGUGGCUGGAUUCGAGGCUUAUCAGCUUGUUGGUAGGGUAGUGGCUUACCAAGGCUUGGACGGGUAGCCGGCCUGGGAGGGUGACCGGCGACAUUGGGACUGAGGGACGGCCCAGACGCCUACGGGCGGCAGCGGGGGAGAGUCUUGCGCAAUGGGCGGAAGCCUGAGGCAGCGACGCCGGGUGCGGAAUGACGGCCUUUGGGUGGUAAACAGCUUUCGCAUGUGCCGAGGCGUGAGUGACGGUACUGAGUAAAGAAGCACCGGCUAACUACGU
Molecule: ribosomal RNA, 467 nt
Filed under: uncultured bacterium
Lineage: Bacteria
Description: partial 16S ribosomal RNA
Rfam family: Bacterial small subunit ribosomal RNA
Source: RNAcentral